RNAcentral lists this small RNA (16 nucleotides) under Arabidopsis thaliana (thale cress). RNAcentral's name for it is "ATSL253960". Lineage: Eukaryota; Viridiplantae; Streptophyta; Magnoliopsida; Brassicales; Brassicaceae. The record is from RNAcentral.
ACUCAACUCAACUCAA